The sequence is a ribosomal RNA, 163 nucleotides long. It matches the Rfam family "5.8S ribosomal RNA". From Rfam's summary of the family: 5.8S ribosomal RNA (5.8S rRNA) is a component of the large subunit of the eukaryotic ribosome. It is transcribed by RNA polymerase I as part of the 45S precursor that also contains 18S and 28S rRNA.
AGAAUGACUCUCGGCAACGGAUAUCUAGGCUCUUGCAUCGAUGAAGAACGUAGCGAAAUGCGAUACUUGGUGUGAAUUGCAGAAUCCCGUGAACCAUCGAGUCUUUGAACGCAAGUUGCGCCCGAAGCCAUCAGGUUGAGGGCACGUCUGCCUGGGCGCACAU